CAGUAGCCACGGGAAUACGGAGGGGGCUAGCGUUGUUCGGAAUUACUGGGCGUAAAGCGCACGUAGGCGGCUUUGUAAGUCAGAGGUGAAAGCCUGGAGCUCAACUCCAGAAUUGCCUUUGAGACUGCAUCGCUUGAACGUCGGAGAGGUGAGUGGAAUUCCGAGUGUAGAGGUGAAAUUCGUAGAUAUUCGGAAGAACACCAGUGGCGAAGGCGGCUCACUGGACGACUGUUGACGCUGAGGUGCGAAAGCGUGGGGAGCAAACAGGAUUAGAUACCCCAGUAGUCCCUGUCUCUUAUAC
RNAcentral lists this ribosomal RNA (301 nucleotides) under uncultured bacterium. RNAcentral describes it as "partial 16S ribosomal RNA". It matches the Rfam family "Bacterial small subunit ribosomal RNA", at positions 509 to 807 of the family's 1533-position model. The record is from RNAcentral.